Molecule: long non-coding RNA, 550 nt
Organism: Rattus rattus (black rat)
Lineage: Eukaryota; Metazoa; Chordata; Mammalia; Rodentia; Muridae
Exons: 3
Source: RefSeq, a predicted model, not a curated record
AAGAAGAGCAGAAGCAGCAAAAUCAAUAGCAGCUGCUUCCCAGGGAUAUCUACUGGACAUGGCCUAACAAAAUAAAAUAGAACAGAGCACAAACUCUCAUAUCAUACCUAGAUGUGGAAACCAAAUAGGAGGAAAAGAGUUCCAAGCAAAGGAAAAGAUUCAGAGGCACAUGUCAUCCCACCCCCACUGUUAGGAGUCUCACAAGAACACCCAGCUGCUACACAACCAUAAGAACUGGAUGAUAAAGUUUAACCUCCAUGGCACAAGCAAGCACUGGGUUAGACUGCUGCUGGGUGAAGAAGAGACCCAAGACUUGAUCAGUGAGCAGCCAUUGAUUUCUUCCCAAAGUGUGAUGCUUUAGGAAGGCUUGAGCAUGGGGGUGGAGUAGUCAAGGAUGGCCUUUGUGAGCCUCUGCGGUGCCCUACUGCCAUCCUGCAGGCAGAGCUACAGUGCAAGGCCAUUACAGCUUUAUUCCCAUGAGUCCUGGCAAUGGGGAAUCAAUGCCAGGUAAGACUCCUUUGGCUUCGACAGUGGACCCCAGUGCUUUUCC